UUUAGCUCAAUAGCAGAGUACUUGCCUCAUAUGCAAGAGACCUUGGAUUCUAACCCCAGAA
Molecule: transfer RNA, 61 nt
Filed under: Mesocricetus auratus (golden hamster)
Lineage: Eukaryota; Metazoa; Chordata; Mammalia; Rodentia; Cricetidae
Rfam family: tRNA
About the family: Transfer RNA (tRNA) molecules are approximately 80 nucleotides in length. Their secondary structure includes four short double-helical elements and three loops (D, anti-codon, and T loops). Further hydrogen bonds mediate the characteristic L-shaped molecular structure. tRNAs have two regions of fundamental functional importance: the anti-codon, which is responsible for specific mRNA codon recognition, and the 3' end, to which the tRNAs corresponding amino acid is attached (by aminoacyl-tRNA synthetases). tRNAs cope with the degeneracy of the genetic code in two manners: having more than one tRNA (with a specific anti-codon) for a particular amino acid; and 'wobble' base-pairing, i.e. permitting non-standard base-pairing at the 3rd anti-codon position.
Source: Rfam by way of RNAcentral